Molecule: ribosomal RNA, 426 nt
Filed under: uncultured prokaryote
Description: bacterial SSU rRNA
Rfam family: Bacterial small subunit ribosomal RNA
Source: RNAcentral
UGGGGAAUAAUUCGCAAUGGCGAAAGCCUGACGAUGCGACGCCGCGUGAACGAUGAAGGCCUUCGGGUUGUAACGUUCUGUUGUCCUGGAACAAGAGUGAUCGUCGAAUAGGCGGUCACGAUGAGGGUACAGGAAGAGGAAGCACCGGCUAAUUCCGUGCCAGCAGCUGCGGUAAUACGUAGGGAGCGAGCGUUAUUCGGAAUUACUGGGUGUAAAGGGUAUGUAGGCGGCCCGUCAAGUCGCGUGUCAAAGUCCAGUGCUCAACGCUGGGUGUGCGCGCGAUACUGACGGGCUUGAGGGCUGGAGAGGUGAGCGGAAUUCCCGGUGUAGUGGUAAAAUACGUAGAGAUCGGGAGGAACACCAGCGGCGCAGGCGGCUCACUAGACAGUUUCUGACGCUAAGAUACGAAAGCGUGGGGAGCAAACA